AUUGAAUUUACAGCUAAGCUAGUCGGAGAUAUCUACCAAGCUAACGUUAAGCUAGCCGUUAGCAGCUUACACACAUAACCAGUAAUACUAUACUUCCAGCAUCUAUGCGGUGGCUCCCAGUUCACUGACACCACAGGGAGCAUCAGUCAGUGGAGUAUUAGAGGCUCUGUGACUGAAAAAUGCUCUGUCAUUGUCUUGUGUGAGUGGACACACACACUAUAACCCUGACUGCACAGGAACAGCAGAGCUGCACUUCAAGACAAACGCGUGAAGAAAAAAAUUAAAGUGGAGCGAUGCUGUGACGAAUAUUUUCUGUACUGCGCAAUGUGGCUGACUGGAUAGUUUCUUGCUGUGGCUCCUCAAAGAAGGGCAAGACUGCAGCAGGAUGACGAUACCAGUGCAAAGGGCAGAGAGUGCGGACGGUCUGUAGAGAUGAAACAGCAUCAAGUCAGAAUCCUCCCUAACUCCUCCCAGCAGAAUGGAUAGAAGAGAUGCCCACAUUUCUCUGCCUGGUCCUUUAUCUGUGAAGUUUGUUUACGUGCAGUAUGUCAGUCUGUGUUGCUCUGCAGUUGUUAUAAUGAUGACUAAUCUGAAAACUCCUUGCUGGGAAGCUGGAUUAUGUCUGACAGCUGACAAGUGCAGCAGCAGCUCAGAAGUGUCUUACAUUUACUGUGUGAACAAAAUACUUUUAUAGUAAAAUAGGAAUCCAAUAAUUUAAAAAAUAUAUUAUUAUUUGACUGUCUCUCUAAAGGAUGUUAAUUUUUCUCUUGUGAGUCUCUCUUCUCCUGAGUAUCUGGCGCCAUCAUGUGGAAUGGAAAAACAACUGCAGCAGCCUAUCACUUGACUAAUAAAGACAGAUAACUGGCUUAUUAAUUACUAAGAAGAAACAGUAUUGAUCUAUACAAUAUUAAAGCUGAUUUAUUGCAACUGUUUUGCUCAGUAGCUAAUCAUAAUUAACAUUAUAUAACCAAAUGAAAGAACAAAUUACAGAUGAUCAGCUGUUAAUAAAAAUAAAUUCCACUUUCUUUA
Long non-coding RNA from Toxotes jaculatrix (banded archerfish), 1029 nucleotides. RefSeq lists it as uncharacterized. The record is from RefSeq and is a predicted model, not a curated record. The transcript has 4 exons. Lineage: Eukaryota; Metazoa; Chordata; Actinopteri; Toxotidae.